This 55-nucleotide transfer RNA is filed under the name Cautires sp. UPOL 000294. RNAcentral's name for it is "partial tRNA-Ser". The record is from RNAcentral. Lineage: Eukaryota; Metazoa; Arthropoda; Insecta; Coleoptera; Lycidae.
AAAGAAUCAUCCAAAAAAAGCUUCUAACUUUAAACACAAGCAUUAACAUGUUUAU